RNAcentral lists this ribosomal RNA (254 nucleotides) under uncultured bacterium. RNAcentral's name for it is "partial 16S ribosomal RNA". It matches the Rfam family "Bacterial small subunit ribosomal RNA", at positions 524 to 776 of the family's 1533-position model. The record is from RNAcentral.
UACGUAGGGGGCGAGCGUUGUCCGGAUUUAUUGGGCGUAAAGAGCUCGUAGGUGGUUCGCUAAGUCGGAUGUGAAAUCUCCAAGCUCAACUUGGAGCGGUCAUUCGAUACUGGCGUGACUUGAGUACGGUAGGGGACCACGGAAUUCCUGGUGUAGCGGUGAAAUGCACAGAUAUCAGGAGGAACACCAAUGGCGAAGGCAGCUCGCUGGGACGUGACUGACGCUGAGACGCGAAAGCGUGGGGAGCAAACAGG